RNAcentral lists this ribosomal RNA (464 nucleotides) under uncultured bacterium. RNAcentral's name for it is "partial 16S ribosomal RNA". It matches the Rfam family "Bacterial small subunit ribosomal RNA", at positions 28 to 507 of the family's 1533-position model. The record is from RNAcentral.
GACGAACGCUGGCGGCGUGCUUAACACAUGCAAGUCGAACGGAAAGGCCCUGCUUGCAGGGUACUCGAGUGGCGAACGGGUGAGUAACACGUGGGUGAUCUGCCCUGCACUUCGGGAUAAGCCUGGGAAACUGGGUCUAAUACCGGAUAGGAGCCAUUUUUAGUGUGAUGGUUGGAAAGUUUUUUCGGUGUAGGAUGAGCUCGCGGCCUAUCAGCUUGUUGGUGGGGUAAUGGCCUACCAAGGCGGCGACGGGUAGCCGGCCUGAGAGGGUGGACGGCCACAUUGGGACUGAGAUACGGCCCAGACUCCUACGGGAGGCAGCAGUGGGGAAUAUUGCACAAUGGGCGCAAGCCUGAUGCAGCGACGCCGCGUGGGGGAUGACGGCCUUCGGGUUGUAAACUCCUUUCGCUAGGGACGAAGCUUUUGUGACGGUACCUAGAUAAGAAGCACCGGCUAACUACAUG